CGUAGGGGGCAAGCGUUGUCCGGAUUUAUUGGGCGUAAAGCGCUCGCAGGUGGUUCGUCGCGUCGUGCGUGAAAGACCCCGGCUCAACUGGGGAGGGUCGUGCGAUAUGGGCGGACUGGAGGCCAGUAGGGGGAUGCGGAAUUCCGGGUGUAGUGGUGGAAUGCGUAGAGAUCCGGAGGAACACCAGCGGCGAAGGCGGCAUCCUGGACUGGUCCUGACACUCAGGAGCGAAAGCGUGGGGAGCGAUCCGGAUUAGAUACCCGGGUAGUCCACGCUGUAAACGAUGCGCACUAGGUGUCGGGGGUAUCGACCCCCUCGGUGCCGCAGCUGACGCGAUAAGUGCGCCGCCUGGGGACUACGGCCGCAAGGCUA
This 372-nucleotide ribosomal RNA is filed under the name uncultured organism. Its description in RNAcentral is "bacterial SSU rRNA". It matches the Rfam family "Bacterial small subunit ribosomal RNA", at positions 526 to 896 of the family's 1533-position model. The record is from RNAcentral.